CCCAGUGCAUCUUGGUAUUUAUAUGAGUAUUAAUGGUUUAAUUAAAGUUAGAUUGCAUUCAUUGGUCUUUAUUUCAGGAAAUGCUGUCCUUCUGGGAUGUGGCCAUUGAUUUCUCUCCAGAAGAGAAAGAAUGCCUGGAGCCUGCUCAGUGGAAUUUGUACAGGGAUGUGAUGUUGGAGAAUUACAGCAACCUUGUGUUCCUGGGUCUUGCUGGCUCUAAGCCACAUCUGGUGACAUUUCUGGAGCAAAGUCAAGGGCCAGCGGGUGUGAAGAGACAAAGAUCACCCCCUGUGCAUUCAGGUCUGUUGAAAUGAGAGGUCAGAAGCAGAGUUGAGUUGCAGGCUUUCCCAUUUGCCUGGAAACAUAAUAUGGGAAUGAUUCUUGA
Psammomys obesus (fat sand rat) is the source of this 385-nucleotide long non-coding RNA. RefSeq lists it as uncharacterized. The record is from RefSeq and is a predicted model, not a curated record. NCBI's taxonomy places the organism in Eukaryota, Metazoa, Chordata, Mammalia, Rodentia, Muridae. The transcript has 2 exons.